AUUGAACGCUGGCGGCAGGCCUAACACAUGCAAGUCGAGCGGAUGAAGGGAGCUUGCUCCUGGAUUCAGCGGCGGACGGGUGAGUAAUGCCUAGGAAUCUGCCUGGUAAUGGGGGAUAACGUCCGGAAACGGGCGCUAAUACCGCAUACGUCCUGAGGGAGAAAGUGGGGGAUCUUCGGACCUCACGCUAUCAGAUGAGCCUAGGUUGGAUUAGCUAGUUGGUGGGGUAAAGGCCUACCAAGGCGACGAUCCGUAACUGGUCUGAGAGGAUGAUCAGUCACACUGGAACUGAGACACGGUCCAGACUCCUACGGGAGGCAGCAGUGGGGAAUAUUGGACAAUGGGCGAAAGCCUGAUCCAGCCAUGCCGCGUGUGUGAAGAAGGUCUUCGGAUUGUAAAGCACUUUAAGUUGGGAGGAAGGGCAGUAAGUUAAUACCUUGCUGUUUUGACGUUACCAACAGAAUAAGCACCGGCUAACUUCGUG
This 484-nucleotide ribosomal RNA is filed under the name uncultured bacterium. RNAcentral describes it as "partial 16S ribosomal RNA". It matches the Rfam family "Bacterial small subunit ribosomal RNA", at positions 30 to 507 of the family's 1533-position model. The record is from RNAcentral.